GGGUUGGUAGCUCAGUCGGUAGAGCAGCGGACUUUUAAUCCGUUGGUCCCGGGUUCGAAUCCCGGCCAACCCA
Molecule: transfer RNA, 73 nt
Filed under: Taylorella equigenitalis ATCC 35865
Lineage: Bacteria; Pseudomonadati; Pseudomonadota; Betaproteobacteria; Burkholderiales; Alcaligenaceae
Also listed under: 3 other names
Description: tRNA-Lys
Rfam family: tRNA
About the family: Transfer RNA (tRNA) molecules are approximately 80 nucleotides in length.
Source: RNAcentral